Molecule: small nuclear RNA, 94 nt
Organism: Cercocebus atys (sooty mangabey)
Lineage: Eukaryota; Metazoa; Chordata; Mammalia; Primates; Cercopithecidae
Source: Ensembl
GUGCCCACUUCAAAAGCACCUGUACUAAAAUUGGAACAAUAGAGAGAUGAUUAGCCUGGAUGACACAUGAAUUAGUAAAGCAUUUCAUAUUCUU